GAUGAACGCUGGCGGCGUGCCUAACACAUGCAAGUCGAACGGGUCUUAUCCAGUGGCGAACUUCGGUUCAAAGCAGGGUAAGUACUAGUGGCGGACGGGUGAGUAACGCGUGGAUAAUCUGGCCUGGACAACGGGAUAACUGUGAGAAAUCACAGCUAAUACGGUAUAAGCUCACGAUGACGCAUGUCGAUGUGAGAAAAGAUUUAUCGGUUCAGGAUGAGUCCGCGUCUGAUUAGCUAGUUGGUAGGGUAAUGGCCUACCAAGGCGACGAUCAGUAGCCGGCCUGAGAGGGUGAACGGCCACAUUGGGACUGAGACACGGCCCAAACUCCUACGGGAGGCAGCAGUGGGGAAUAUUGCACAAUGGGCGCAAGCCUGAUGCAGCAACGCCGCGUGAAGGAAGAAGGGUUUAGGCUCGUAAACUUCUAUCAACGGGGAAGAAAAUGACGGUACCUGACUAAGAAGCCCCGGCUAAUUACGUGCCAGCCGCCGCCGUAAGAC
RNAcentral lists this ribosomal RNA (500 nucleotides) under uncultured bacterium. RNAcentral describes it as "bacterial SSU rRNA". It matches the Rfam family "Bacterial small subunit ribosomal RNA", at positions 28 to 526 of the family's 1533-position model. The record is from RNAcentral.